RNAcentral lists this non-coding RNA (28 nucleotides) under Mus musculus (house mouse). Lineage: Eukaryota; Metazoa; Chordata; Mammalia; Rodentia; Muridae. The record is from RNAcentral.
UGCAAGUGCAGAACAAAGAACAAGAGAU